This 497-nucleotide ribosomal RNA is filed under the name uncultured bacterium. RNAcentral describes it as "partial 16S ribosomal RNA". It matches the Rfam family "Bacterial small subunit ribosomal RNA", at positions 28 to 507 of the family's 1533-position model. The record is from RNAcentral.
GAUGAACGCUGGCGGCGUGCCUAAUACAUGCAAGUCGAGCGAACAGAUAAGGAGCUUGCUCCUUUGAAGUUAGCGGCGGACGGGUGAGUAACACGUGGAUAACCUACCUAUAAGACUGGGAUAACUUCGGGAAACCGGAGCUAAUACCGGAUAACAUUUAGAACCGCAUGGUUCUAUAGUGAAAGAUGGUUUUGCUAUCACUUAUAGAUGGACCCGCGCCGUAUUAGCUAGUUGGUAAGGUAACGGCUUACCAAGGCGACGAUACGUAGCCGACCUGAGAGGGUGAUCGGCCACACUGGAACUGAGACACGGUCCAGACUCCUACGGGAGGCAGCAGUAGGGAAUCUUCCGCAAUGGGCGAAAGCCUGACGGAGCAACGCCGCGUGAGUGAUGAAGGGUUUCGGAUCGUAAAACUCUGUUAUUAGGGAAGAACAAAUGUGUAAGUAACUGUGCACAUCUUGACGGUACCUAAUCAGAAAGCCACGGCUAACUACGUG